CGCCCAUGGUGGCAGCAGCUGUAGGAGAUGGGGAAGAGAUCCUGCUCUCUCUUUAUUUACUUGACAACCGCGGAUGGGGAGGAUGCGGGUGGGGUGAAUUACAUGGAGAAUGGAGUAGGCGGCGAGCUCCACAAAGGGGAUGAGGGGCGUGGGGCUGAAGGUAUGGUUCGCUACAGCGGUGGUGACACGGAACCUACCACGCCCACCGGAUCUCGGUUGUUGCUCUCUCUCGAUCUGUUCGAUACUCGGUUGUUUCUUUACUCUCCAUCCAGAUCCUGCAGAGGCGCCUUGGGCUGGUGAGGUCGCUGGUGUUGGCAACGAUGCUGCAGAUCGGGUCGCACCUCUUUGUCACCUGGAGCUUCCCCGAGGUUCCCGGUACUAUUGAUGGUGUCUCUUUCUGUUCUUAUUACUGCUGCACAAAGCUGUUGAGCUUGGUCGUUUUCCUUUCUUGGUUGUGUUUGCAGACCAGGACACACAUCGUGGUGACUUGGUCAGCUCCUUGGUCAUCAUCUGGUCCAUCACCGAGGUAUGUAUUCACCAUUGACUUCACUCAUAUCAUACGCUCCUUGAAAGCUAGGGACUACAGUUGUUCAUAAUAAAUGUAUUAUCAAGCCGCGAGGCGCUCCUGUUGAUGUGCACACUAGCUCGAGAUGUGUCCCUCAAUUAAUGCAAAUGCGAGUAUGCGAUGACGAUUUGACAUGUGUGUGUUGCUGCUUCAAAUUGAAUUUCUAGAUACUAAUGAGGAAUUUAACAAAGAAUUAUUAUAGCUUAAUUUACUAUACUUCACUAUUAUAUCAGGGGAGAUGUGGUUACAUCUUAAUUUACUAUGCUUCAAACUGUUUUCACGCUAUUGUAUGGUGCUUGCGAGACCUUGCCAUCUAAGGUUGCUCCAAAAUAACGGCUAGGCAACGCCUUAAACUAUGUGUUUGGUGAAACUUUUAAAUAGGAGAAUAUAGUGGAAACAUUGCAAUACCCACACACUUGUUCAGAAGUGUUUUGAAGCGUUGUAACCGGAGGCCAGUUUCAAGUAAAAUAAAAAAGGGAGUAUUGACAAUGUGUCUUCAGUAUGUUAUGUAGAAGGUAGUGUCCCACCUUUGUAUUUUCAUAUGGUUUGUUUACCACAGGCCAUCAGUUUUUGUAAUUUUGUGUGCUCGUUCUCUGAAAAUUAUUUCAUGUUAUUUGUACUCAGGUGCGUAACCUAACUACUCCCUCUGUCCCGCAAUUCUUAUCUGGACCACCACCAACCGGAGACGACGGGAACCGUAGCUGCUGCAACAACCUGUUAACCCGCCGGUGGCAGCAAGCUAAAGGCUCCCCCUUGCAAGGUCAAAGGAGAAGUACAACAGCGACAAUGUCCUGGAGCAGCACGGCGAUCUGGACGGGAAGGAGGGUAGCAGCAGGACGAGGGGCGCAACUAAGCCGUCUUGCUCUCUUCGGUCGACCCUCCAUGACGGACGCCACAAGAUCUUCUGUCUGCAGAAAGUGAAUUACUUGCUCAUCUAUUUAUUCUUUUGAAAUUGCAGCUGAAUUUUGUCAAACCUAGAGCGGGAUUUUGCAGCAAGAGAUAUCUCUGACAACCACUGUGCAAUCAUCUCAACGAUAAAAAUUUAGUGUAAAAUUUUGUCAAACUGAAUCUUUCUCAACAGAUUUAGUUAUUUUGCUAAAAAAUCAGUUUUGUAUCCUGCUCUGAAUAUAAAGUGUACUGCUUAUUGCAAGCAAGUUUAAAAUUUCAGUCUAAAAGUCAGUUAACUGAAUUUUGACACAAUAGUUAACUGAAUUUACUGUCAUCCCUAUCAAAUGCAGUUUAUCCGUUCGUCCUGCUUCUCACUUUCUUCUAUGUUUUCUAAGAAAAAAUUAACUUCCUUCUGUAGUUAUUCACAUGAUAUAUGUGCCAACUUCCUUUCGCAAAAUCUUGCCAUCUUGACCAACAUUUUGACAGGCUUACUGCUAAUCUAGGGCCACAUGAGACUUUGUUGGGUUAGUUAUUUUUCGCACCAACCAACAAUGCAUAGAAAUCUGCUAGAUUACCCAAGUCCAUAGCAAAGGAGGAAGAAAGUGAAAUGUGAGGCUGAUCAACUUAUCCAUCAGCUAGAUAACCCCAAGUGUAACUGGGUUCAGGGCCUGUACUUGCUUACCGAUGGAAAAGGACAAAUAAUUGGAUUGCUGUUUUCAACAAUGGGUGUUGAUGUUUGCAUGAUCAGUGUUAAUCCAAGGUAAUCAAAGUACUGAAUCACUCCUUUCUGGAGUAUUGUCAUUUAACAAUAAACUGAGUUACUGCCAUUUAAGAGUAAAUUGAAUUUAUCUUGAGUAUGCAGUAAACUUGCUAGAGUACAAAUUUAUGCAUUACUCCAUAUUUUCUGAAGUACUGUCAUUUACUCCAUACUCCAAAUUUAUGCAUUAUUCCUUGCUGGAGUAUUUUUAAAAUACUCCUAGUGUUAAAAUCGUCAUGUUGUAUAAACUUGGCAUCUUGUUGUUCACUAUAUUUCUUUUCACUGAUGCAUUUUCCAUGUUAUUUUAAUCUGACAUACCACAUUAAUUUCUUAUUCAACGAUGUUCUUAACUAUUUACAGGUUGUAACAAAAUUUCUCACUAUGGAGUCCUUGCUUGACGAGAGCGUUGACAAGGAGAUAAAUUUGCAGAUCGAAUGAGGUGGAACUCCUUUAACAGUAACGCUGAAGGUAGUUUGCAAGCUUGCCAUGUCUUGUUUAAUCUUCAUACCAGAGAGCAGUAUAUAUGAUCGAUUACUCCGUGUAAUAAUGCAUCUUUGACUUUGCAGAUCGAAAUGUAGGAACUAGUUAUUUUGGAAGAACUAGUUAUGUAGGAACAGUCUAUAUAAGGAUGUAUAUAGAUAUAUUUUAAAAUAUUUAUCUAUUUAUUUCGUUUCAUACGUACUCUGUAGUAAAAUCUUUAAAAGAUCUUAUAUUUAAAAACAAAGGAGGUUGAGUAUUGGUCAGAUGCUUAUAGUAGGCCUAAUUAAGUAGCCCAUUGUUUAUCACAUACAUGCAUGAACCUUUUGUUUGAGAAUCAUACGUGCAUGGAUGUUGCCCAGGUAAACCAAGACGCACGGUAGAAUCUUCCCACUGUUUAUCAUGUAUGUAAGCUGUCUCACAGACAUCGAGCCUGGGCAAGUGCCCGGGGUGGUCGGGCGCUGGCUCCGCCACUGCCUACUUUCAUUGUUCUUUUCUGAGCCGAAUAGCUUAUGCUCUCAGAGUAUCAGGAAAAGAAUAUGUAAUUGUUUCUAUGGUAUUUGGCCUUCAUGUAUAUUUCAUACCGUAUCUCCGUAUGCCUUCUUUCUUGUGCAGUAAACAUAAAAAUAUAUGCUACAUUAUAAUAUUCUGUACCAGGUGCACGCACACUUUGCAUGCAUUUUUACAUCAUGGUGAUUAGAAGCAGAAUAGACAAUUAUUCAGAGACGUAAAGAUUAGAAUAAAAAAGAUUCACAUGUAUUUUAUCUGUACCUUCAUUACUAGAAGUUGUAUGCUUUCUUAUGUUUGAUUAUUUGAAUUACCAGGAUGAUCUGAAGCACCCAAAAGAAGUAGAGGACAUGACGGGAGAAGGGAACAAGAAGCUUCGUUUAUCAUUGAUGUUAUGUUGUGCACUUGUUGGGCCUUGAACCUUUAUGUGUAGAGGAGUCGAUGAAUGAUGUAUUGUAAUUCAUGUGAUGUGUUACUGAAAUGAAAUAUAUACAACUAAUUUGCAAUAUUUUAUUCUUGUGUAUUUGUUUUUUAAUUGGUCUAUCCUGAGAUAUACAUGCUUUUAGUAAAAUAAUGCAUCAGCC
This 3778-nucleotide long non-coding RNA is filed under the name Hordeum vulgare. Its description in RNAcentral is "long non-coding RNA (HVUL_LNC010527)". The record is from RNAcentral. Lineage: Eukaryota; Viridiplantae; Streptophyta; Magnoliopsida; Poales; Poaceae.